Molecule: long non-coding RNA, 1551 nt
Organism: Oncorhynchus tshawytscha (Chinook salmon)
Lineage: Eukaryota; Metazoa; Chordata; Actinopteri; Salmoniformes; Salmonidae
Source: Ensembl
GAAAGGUGCCUUAUUGCUAUUAUAAACUGGUUACAAUGUAAUUAGAGCAGUAAAAAUGUAUGUUUUGUCAUACCUGUGGCUAUAGCACGGCUGUCAGCCAAUCAGCAUUCAGGGUUAGAACCACCCAGUUUAUAAUUUGUAAUAGAGAUGUAUCUGUAGAAUAUUUACUGUGUAUUGGAAGAGUUUACGUCCUCGCUUCAUUCUCUACUGUGGGAGUCAUGUUCGGGACUUUGCAUUUUAUUUCACUGCCUGUGUCUGUUUUCAUUUUCAUAUUGUUCAAAAUACACUGAUGGUUGUUCAGAAAAAGUCAUACUGUGAAGGGAACACUGGAUAAGUCAAGAGAGACACAUUUCUUAAAGCCACAAAUCUGGAAUUUGUACUUGUUUUGAUAUUCAGCUGAGGGAUGUGACAUGCAAAGGGACAUGUGAGAUUUUCUCAAGACUGACUUGGUGAACAGCUGGCUAGAACACAGGAGUAUUGUCCUUAUACACAAAAACAGUAUUUCAUCACUUUCUACAUCUGCACCUGAAGAGAUUCACCACUUGUCUUCACCAUGUCUGCAGGGUAGGGUAGCCUAGUGGUUAGAGCGUUGGACUAGUAACCGGAAGGUUGCAAGUUCAAAUAAAGGUCAAAUAAAAAUAAAUAAAAAAUUUACAUAGGGAAUAGGUUUCCAUUAGAGACAGUAGGGAAUAGGUUUCCAUUAGAGACAGUAGGGAAUAGGUUUCCAUUAGAGACAGUAGGGAAUAGGUUUCCAUUAGAGACAGUAGGGAAUAGGUUGCCAUUAGAGAUGCUAGGGAAUAGGUUUCCAUUAGAGAUGCUAGGGAAUGGGUUUCCAUUAGAGAUGCUAGGGAAUAGGUUGCCAUUGGAGACAGUAGGGAAUAGGUUUCCAUUAGAGAUGCUAGGGAAUAGGUUACCAUUGGAGACUCCAGGGAAUAGGUUGCCAUUGGAGACAGUAGGGAAUAGGUUUCCAUUAGAGAUGCUAGGGAAUAGGUUACCAUUGGAGACAGUAGGGAAUAGGUUUCCAUUAGAGAUGCUAGGGAAUAGGUUGCCAUUGGAGACUCUAGGGAAUAGGUUACCAUUGGAGACAGUAGGGAAUAGGUUACCAUUGGAGACAGUAGGGAAUAGGUUACCAUUAGUGAAGCACAAUGUUACUUAUUUCAAAACAUUUACAGCACUAUAGUGCUGUGAACAGGUACAAUCUUUUUUCACACCCAGAUUUUUCCUACAUACUGUUUGCUGUUCUCCAGUAUUUAUUUGUGUUGGCGGUGCGAGGGGGUCCAUGUCCUUUGUCUUGUCAAGAUAAAGGAAACAACGACUGAAUCUUAGUAGUGUUGCACCAUAACAACACGCUCUUUAAUCUCAGACAACAACAGCAUUUAUUUUGUCUUCCAAAUGGCAGCCUAUUCCCUAUGGGCUCUGGUCUAAAGUAGUGCAUUAUAUAUAGGGAAUAGGGUGCCAUAGGGCUCUGGUCUAAAGUAGUGCACGAUAUAGGGAAUAGGGUACCAUAGGUCUCUGGUCUAAAGUAGUGCACUAUAUAGGGAAUAGGGUGGC